This 166-nucleotide long non-coding RNA is filed under the name Anas platyrhynchos platyrhynchos (common mallard). RNAcentral describes it as "lncRNA (ENSAPLG00000020984.1)". Lineage: Eukaryota; Metazoa; Chordata; Aves; Anseriformes; Anatidae. The record is from RNAcentral.
UAUAAAAGCUCUGGAUACUGGCAUAAGGGAAAAGCAACAAGCUGAUGGCCCCUGCAGUAUUGCUUUGCUGUUCUGUUAUCUCACCCUGACUACCAGUUAUGACAUCUUUGAGAAGGAGAUCAUGGGUGGAUGGAAUAAAGGAAGAGCACUAGAGAAAGCUGGAUGA